This 2736-nucleotide long non-coding RNA is filed under the name Papio anubis (olive baboon). Its description in RNAcentral is "lncRNA (ENSPANG00000046686.1)". The record is from RNAcentral. Lineage: Eukaryota; Metazoa; Chordata; Mammalia; Primates; Cercopithecidae.
UUCUCUAAUCUUGUCUUCAUGUUUUAUUUCAGUAAACUGAUCUUCAAUCUCUUUCUUCCACUUGAUCAAUUUGACUAUUGAUACUUGUGUAUGCUUCACAAAGUUCUCAUGCUGAGUUUUUCAGCUCCAUCAGGUCAUUUAUGUUCUUCUCUAAACUGGUAAUUCCAGUUAGCAAUUCCUCUAACCUUUUCUCGAGGUUCUUAGCUUCCUUGCAUUGGGUUAGAGUGUGCUCCUUUAGCUCGGAGGAUUUUGUUAUUACCUACCUUCUGAAGCCUAUCAAUUCGUCAAACUCAUUCUCCAUCCAGUUUUGUUCCCUUUCUGGUGUGGAACUGUGAUCCUUUGGAGGAGAAGAGGUGUUCUGGUUUUUGGAAUUUUCAGUCUUUCUGCACUGUUUUUUCCUCAUUUUGUGGUUUACCUACCUUUGGUCUUUUAUGUUGGUCACCUUCAGAUGGGGUUUCUGUGUAGACGUCCUUUUUGUUUAUGUUGAUCCUAUUCUUUUCUGUUUGUUAGUUUUUCUUCUAAUAGUCAGGCCCCUCUGCUGCAGGUCUGCCGGAGUUUGCAGGAGUUCCACUCCAGAUCCUGUUUGCAUCGGUAUCAUGAGCAGAGGCUCCAGAACAGCAAAGAUUGCUGCGUAUUCCUUUCUCUGGAAGCUUCAUCCCAGGGGGACACCUGCCAAAUGCCAGUUGGAGCUCUUCUGUAUGAGAUGCUGCUGCUGGACCAGAGACCACACUGUGAAUCGCUGAUCUAGAGUCAAGGGAUCUUGUUGGUUUUCCUGUGUGUGAAGAGCAAAAGGGACCUGGAGAGAGACAUGAAAAAGGUGGGCAGGUCUCUACAGGACACAAGAAAAGAAAAGAACAUACCUAUGCGUCACAGUUGGGUGGGACCCAGAGUAGCUUUCAAUCUUCAUUUCUUCCUUUUUUUUUUUUUUUUUUUUGAAAUGGAGUCUCACUCUGUAUCCUAGGGUGGAGUGCAGUGGCCUGCAACCUCUGCCUCCCCGGUUCAAGUGAUUCUCCUGUCUCAGCUUCCCAAGUAGCUGGAAAAACAGGUCCGAGCCACCAUGCCUGGUUAAUUUUUUGUAUUUUUAGUAGAGACGCAGUUUCACCACGUUGGCCAGGCUGGUCUCGAACUCCUGGCCUCAGGUGAUCUGCCUGCCUUGGCCUCCCAAAGUGCUGGGAUUACAGGCGUGAGCCACCGCGUCCGGCCUCAAUCUUCAUUUCUUGCUUUAGUUUCCAACUACUGCACUUCUCAUCAGCCCUGCAAGAAGAAAUGUCUAAAUAGACUACACUCUAGAACUAAGAUAGGAUUGCAUUCUCCUAGAAAAUAAACUCUGUUAAUUAUAAAGCCUUUUCUCUUCCUAUUUUUGAGGUAGUUCCUAGUAUUUAUGAAUGUCCAGCCUAAAAUAGAAAAUGCUGCUUUGAUAGAUAAAGUAGUCAACCUUUUAGCAGCUUGUGCCAGCUUCCACCUUGUAGAGGGUCUUGAUUCCAGUUUUCUUAAGGUGAUGCAGGCAGUGGCCUUACGUUCCCUCACCACCUACUCUUCUCUCUUGUUCCUGCUUGCCAACUGAGCCUAACAGGCCCCUCGAGACUGGCCAAAUCCAUUUGUUAGGAGUCCAUGCAGUAAAUAUGCCACUGAUCUCAGCCCAUUAGUAGAGCUUCUGCCAAAGGGCCAUCUGCACCACAGCUCCGCUGGGCUUCUUGCUUCAGUUUCCUCCAGAUCUUUAUGUUUUGUUUAUAGUCAAGUACACAGUUCCCACAUAAUAAAUGUCGACUAAUAACUUGACCAACAUCUACAGUAACACAAAUGUGGAUGUUUUGUAAUAUUAACACAUAAAAUGGGAACUGAGAAAAGGUGGGCUAUUUCAUAUGCAGUAUCAAGUAUCUGUAACGUAGAUCAAAUCACAAGGCAGUUUAUUUUAUAAAUUUCUUACAUGGCAAACAUUCCAACAGGUAAUAGGCAUUCAUUACAGUUAUCAAAGCAAACAAAAAAGAAUUAAAGUACCUGUAAUGCCAUCACCUAUACAUAGAUGCAGUUGUGGGUUUGGCAACUAGCCUUUCACACAAACACACACUUGCAUGUGUGCACGCCAUGCACAACACAUAUGUGAUAGAACUAGACAUGCUUUUUGUGACCUGUUUUAUUUAUUUAUAUUUUUACUUAAUACAUUAUGAAUAGGCUGGGCACAGUGGCUCAUGCCUGUAAUCCUAGCACUAUGGGAGGUCGAGACAGGCAGAUUGCUUGAGCCCAGGAGUUUGACACCAGCCUGGGCAACAUGGUGAAACCCCAUCUCCACAAAAGAUAGAAAAAAUUAGCCAGGCAUGAUGGUGUGCACCUAUAGUCUCAGCUACCCAGGAGUCUGAGAUGGGAGGAUCACCUACCUGAGCCUGGGAGGUCGAGGGAACCUGGGUGACAGAGUGAGAUUAUAUACAUAUAUAUAAUAUACAUCCUUACACAUCAUUAAUCUCAUAAAUUUCUGCAUAAGUAUUCCAUCAUCUGGAUGAACCAUAGUUUAUUUAUAAGUUAACCAGUCCUCUAUCGGUGGAUAUUUCCUCUCAAUUUCUUACUUUUAUUGUAGUGCCACAUUCAUUUAACAGUGUUGUAUAUAACUUCAGUCCAUCUUUACUAAGUUCUUUAAGACAAAUUUUUAGAACUUUCAUCUUGAAGAUAUUAAUGCAUAUUACCAAAUGAUCUUCUAGAAAUCUCACGAAAAUGUUGUUUCUAUGUGUGGAAGAAUGAAAC